GUGGGUAGUUUGACUGGGGCGGUCUCCUCCUAAAGAGUAACGGAGGAGCACGAAGGUUGGCUAAUCCUGGUCGGACAUCAGGAGGUUAGUGCAAUGGCAUAAGCCAGCUUGACUGCGAGCGUGACGGCGCGAGCAGGUGCGAAAGCAGGUCAUAGUGAUCCGGUGGUUCUGAAUGGAAGGGCCAUCGCUCAACGGAUAAAAGGUACUCCGGGGAUAACAGGCUGAUACCGCCCAAGAGUUCAUAUCGACGGCGGUGUUUGGCACCUCGAUGUCGGCUCAUCACAUCCUGGGGCUGAAGUAGGUCCCAAGGGUAUGGCUGUUCGCCAUUUAAAGUGGUACGCGAGCUGGGUUUAGAACGUCGUGAGACAGUUCGGUCCCUAUCUGCCGUGGGCGCUGGAGAACUGAGGGGGGCUGCUCCUAGUACGAGAGGACCGGAGUGGACGCAUCACUGGUGUUCGGGUUGUCAUGCCAAUGGCACUGCCCGGUAGCUAAAUGCGGAAGAGAUAAGUGCUGAAAGCAUCUAAGCACGAAACUUGCCCCGAGAUGAGUUCUCCCUGAGACUUAAAGUCUCCUGAAGGAACGUUGAAGACGACGACGUUGAUAGGCCGG
Molecule: ribosomal RNA, 609 nt
Filed under: Salmonella enterica subsp. enterica serovar Heidelberg
Lineage: Bacteria; Pseudomonadati; Pseudomonadota; Gammaproteobacteria; Enterobacterales; Enterobacteriaceae
Description: partial 23S ribosomal RNA
Rfam family: Bacterial large subunit ribosomal RNA
Source: RNAcentral